CCUACGGGGGGCUGCAGUGGGGAAUAUUGGACAAUGGGGGCAACCCUGAUCCAGCCAUGCCGCGUGUGUGAAGAAGGCCCUCGGGUUGUAAAGCACUUUCAGUGAGGAAGAACGCCUGGUGGUUAAUACCCAUCAGGAAAGACAUCACUCACAGAAGAAGCACCGGCUAACUCCGUGCCAGCAGCCGCGGUAAUACGGAGGGUGCGAGCGUUAAUCGGAAUUACUGGGCGUAAAGCGCGCGUAGGUGGCUUGAUAAGCCGGUUGUGAAAGCCCCGGGCUCAACCUGGGAGCGGCAUCCGGAACUGUCAAGCUAGAGUGCAGGAGAGGAAGGUAGAAUUCCCGGUGUAGCGGUGAAAUGCGUAGAGAUCGGGAGGAAUACCAGUGGCGAAGGCGGCCUUCUGGACUGACACUGACACUGAGGUGCGAAAGCGUGGGUAGCAAACAGGAUUAGAUACCCGGGUAGUC
RNAcentral lists this ribosomal RNA (465 nucleotides) under Vreelandella stevensii. RNAcentral describes it as "partial 16S ribosomal RNA". It matches the Rfam family "Bacterial small subunit ribosomal RNA", at positions 338 to 795 of the family's 1533-position model. The record is from RNAcentral. Lineage: Bacteria; Pseudomonadati; Pseudomonadota; Gammaproteobacteria; Oceanospirillales; Halomonadaceae.